RNAcentral lists this transfer RNA (64 nucleotides) under Paratomella rubra. RNAcentral describes it as "tRNA-Ser". The record is from RNAcentral. Lineage: Eukaryota; Metazoa; Xenacoelomorpha; Acoela; Paratomellidae.
AAGAUUUUAGUUUAGAAAAUAUUAACUUGCUAAGUUUAAGAUAUACAUAGUAGUAUAAAUCUUU